This 253-nucleotide ribosomal RNA is filed under the name uncultured bacterium. RNAcentral's name for it is "partial 16S ribosomal RNA". It matches the Rfam family "Bacterial small subunit ribosomal RNA", at positions 524 to 776 of the family's 1533-position model. The record is from RNAcentral.
UACGUAGGGUGCAAGCGUUGUCCGGAAUUAUUGGGCGUAAAGAGCCCGUAGGCGGUUUGUUGCGUCGGCUGUGAAAUCCCGAGGCUCAACCUCGGGUCUGCAGUCGAUACGAGCAAACUAGAGUGUUGCAGGGGAGACUGGAAUUCCUGGUGUAGCGGUGAAAUGCGCAGAUAUCAGGAGGAACACCGGUGGCGAAGGCGGGUCUCUGGGCCGAUACUGACGCUGAGGAGCGAAAGCGUGGGGAGCAAACAGG